ACGUAGGGGGCGAGCGUUGUCCGGAAUCACUGGGCGUAAAGCGCACGUAGGCGGGCUGUCAAGUCGGCCGUGAAAGGCAUGGGCUCAACCUGUGCAUGUCGGUCGAUACUGGCGGUCUGGAGUAUGGGAGAGGGAACUGGAAUUCCCGGUGGAGCGGUGAAAUGCGUAGAUAACGGGAGGAACACCAGGGGCGGAGGCGGGUUCCUGGCCCAUGACUGACGGUGGGGUGGGGAAGCCGGGGGAGCGAACGG
This 251-nucleotide ribosomal RNA is filed under the name uncultured prokaryote. RNAcentral's name for it is "partial 16S rRNA". It matches the Rfam family "Bacterial small subunit ribosomal RNA", at positions 525 to 775 of the family's 1533-position model. The record is from RNAcentral.